This 792-nucleotide ribosomal RNA is filed under the name uncultured bacterium. Its description in RNAcentral is "bacterial SSU rRNA". It matches the Rfam family "Bacterial small subunit ribosomal RNA", at positions 8 to 796 of the family's 1533-position model. The record is from RNAcentral.
AGAGUUUGAUCAUGGCUCAGGAUGAACGCUAGCGGCAGGCCUAAUACAUGCAAGUCGGACGGGAUAGGAGAGCUUGCUUUCCUUGAGAGUGGCGCACGGGUGCGUAACACGUAUGUAACCUACCUUGUUCAGGGGGGAUAGCCUCUCGAAAGAGAGAUUAAGACCGCAUAACAUCAUGAUGCAGCAUUGCAAUAUGAUCAAAUAUUUAUAGGAACAAGAUGGGCAUGCGGAACAUUAGCUAGUUGGUAAGGUAAAGGCUUACCAAGGCUACGAUGUUUAGGGGAUCUGAGAGGAUGACCCCCCACACUGGUACUGAGACACGGACCAGACUCCUACGGGAGGCAGCAGUAAGGAAUAUUGGUCAAUGGGCGGAAGCCUGAACCAGCCAUGCCGCGUGCAGGAAGACUGCCCUACGGGUUGUAAACUGCUUUUGUACCGGAAUAAACCUUGAUUCGUGAAUCAAGCUGAAUGUACGGUAAGAAUAAGGAUCGGCUAACUCCGUGCCAGCAGCCGCGGUAAUACGGAGGAUCCAAGCGUUAUCCGGAUUUAUUGGGUUUAAAGGGUGCGUAGGUGGCUUUUUAAGUCAGGGGUGAAAGACGGUAGCUUAACUAUCGCAGUGCCUUUGAUACUGAAGAGCUUGAAUGAACUAGAGGUAGGCGGAAUGUGACAAGUAGCGGUGAAAUGCAUAGAUAUGUCACAGAACACCAAUUGCGAAGGCAGCUUACUAUGGUUUAAUUGACACUGAGGCACGAAAGCGUGGGGAUCAAACAGGAUUAGAUACCCUAGUAGUCC